RNAcentral lists this ribosomal RNA (119 nucleotides) under Brassica napus (rape). The record is from RNAcentral. Lineage: Eukaryota; Viridiplantae; Streptophyta; Magnoliopsida; Brassicales; Brassicaceae.
GGGUGCGAUCAUACUAACGCUAAUGCACCGGAUUCCAUCAAAAUUCUGCAGUUAAUCGUGUUUGGGCGAAAAUACUAAUAAGAUGGAUGAUCUUCCAAAAACUCUUUGUGUUGCACUCC